UACGGAGUAUCCGAGCGUUAUCCGGAUUUACUGGGUGUAAAGGGUGCGUAGGUGGCGUGGCAAGUCAGAAGUGAAAACUCCGGGCUCAACCCGGAGACUGCUUUUGAAACUGCCGUGCUCGAGUGCAGGAGAGGAAAGCGGAAUUCCUAGUGUAGCGGUGAAAUGCGUAGAUAUUAGGAGGAACACCAGUGGCGAAGGCGGCUUUCUGGACUGUUACUGACACUGAUGCACGAAAGCGUGGGGAGCAAAC
Molecule: ribosomal RNA, 250 nt
Filed under: uncultured prokaryote
Description: partial 16S ribosomal RNA
Rfam family: Bacterial small subunit ribosomal RNA
Source: RNAcentral